RNAcentral lists this ribosomal RNA (199 nucleotides) under uncultured bacterium. RNAcentral's name for it is "partial 16S ribosomal RNA". It matches the Rfam family "Bacterial small subunit ribosomal RNA", at positions 328 to 539 of the family's 1533-position model. The record is from RNAcentral.
ACGCUCGACACCUACGGGAGGUAGCAGUGGGGAAUAUUGCACAAUGGGGGAAACCCUGAUGCAGCGACGCCGCGUGGAGGAAGAAGGUCUUCGGAUUGUAAACUCCUGUUGUUGGGGAAAAAGAGGAUGGUACCCAACAAGGAAGUGACGGCUAACUACGUGCCAGCAGCCGCGGUAAUCUGAGGCGGGCUGGCAAGGC